GCCGGGUGCGGUGGCAUGUGCCUGUAAUCCAAGUCACUGGGAGGCUGAGGUUGGUGGAUCAAGUGAGCUGAGGAGCUCUGGGCUGCAGCACUCUAUGUCGAACGGGUGUCCACGCUAAGUUCGGUAUCGAUAUGGUGUUCCUGGGGGAGCCCGGGACCACCAGGUUGUCUAAGGAGGGGUGAACCGGCCCAGGUCGGAAACGAAGCAGGUCAAAUCCCCCGUGCUGUCCAGUAGUGGGAUAAUACCUGUGAGUAGAUGCUGCAGUGCAGCCUUGGCAAAACAUCUUUU
Oncorhynchus mykiss (rainbow trout) is the source of this 288-nucleotide unclassified non-coding RNA. It matches the Rfam family "Metazoan signal recognition particle RNA". From Rfam's summary of the family: The signal recognition particle (SRP) is a universally conserved ribonucleoprotein. It is involved in the co-translational targeting of proteins to membranes. The eukaryotic SRP consists of a 300-nucleotide 7S RNA and six proteins: SRPs 72, 68, 54, 19, 14, and 9. The record is from Ensembl. NCBI's taxonomy places the organism in Eukaryota, Metazoa, Chordata, Actinopteri, Salmoniformes, Salmonidae.